UACGUAGGGGGCGAGCGUUGUCCGAAGUUACUGGGCGUAAAGCGCGCGUAGGCGGGGGAUUAAGUGAGAGGUGAAAGGCUGGGGCUCAACCUCAUGCAGUGCCUCUCAUACUGGUUCUCUUGAGGGCGGUAGGGAGAAGUGGAAUGGCUGGUGUAGCGGUGAAAUGCGUAGAUAUCGAGAGGAACACCUGCGGCGAAGGCGGGUUGCUGGGCUGAUACUGACGCUGAGGCGCGAAAGCCAGGGGAGCGAACGGG
RNAcentral lists this ribosomal RNA (254 nucleotides) under uncultured bacterium. RNAcentral describes it as "partial 16S ribosomal RNA". It matches the Rfam family "Bacterial small subunit ribosomal RNA", at positions 524 to 776 of the family's 1533-position model. The record is from RNAcentral.